AGGGGGGGGGGGGGGGAGAGGGGGGCGGGGGUGGUGGGGGGGAGAAAAAAACAUAUUUUGUUGGGGGAUUUUUUUUUCCCCCCUUUUGUGGGCCGCGGGGGAAAAAAAAACCCCGGGGGGGAAAAAAAUUUUUGGGUUAAAAAUUCCCGGGAUAAAAAGUUUUUUUUAGGGGGAAAAAAGCGUUUUUUUCCCCCACCCUUGGGAGAGGGGCCCCUCCCCCCUUGGUUUUAGUUUUUUUUGGGGGGGGGGAAAAAGGGCCCCCCCCAAAGCCCAAUUGUUCCAAAAAGGUGAAUUUGGAGGGGGAAGGUUCAAGCCCCCUUUGGGGGUUGAGGCCCCGGGCCCCAAAUUCCUUCCGGGAGGCCAGCAGUAGGGGAAUUUUUCCCAAAGGGAGGGGAAUUUUGAUGGAAGGGAUCCCGGCUGAGGGAAAGAAGGCCUUUUGGGUGUAAAAGGUUCUUUGUUGGGGGAAAAAAAAUGAUUGUACCCGAAUAAGAAGGUCCGGGCUAACUUCGUGCCAGCAACCGCGGUAAUUGGAAGGGACCUAGCGUAGUUGGGAAAUUAUUGGGUUAAAGAGUUCGUAGGUGUUAAAAAAGUUGGGGGGUGAAAUCCCAGAGCUUAACUCUGGAACUGCCAUCAAAACUUUUUAGCUAGAGUAUGAUAGAGGAAAGUAGAAUUUCUAGUGUAGAGGUGAAAUUCGUAGAUAUUAGAAAGAAUACCGAUUGCGAAGGCAACUUUCUGGAUCAUUACUGACACUGAGGAACGAAAGCAUGGGUAGCGAAGAGGAUUAGAUACCCUCGUAGUCCAUGCCGUAAACGAUGUGUGUUAGACGUUGGAAAUUUAUUUUCAGUGUCGCAGCGAAAGCGAUAAACACACCGCCUGGGGAGUACGACCGCAAGGUUAAAACUCAAAUGAAUUGACGGGGACCCGCACAAGUAGUGGAGCAUGUGGUUUAAUUCGAAGAUACGCGCAGAACCUUACCAACACUUGACAUGUUCGUCGCGACUCUAAGAGAUUAGAGUUUUCGGUUCGGCCGGACGAAACACAGGUGCUGCAUGGCUGUCGUCAGCUCGUGUCGUGAGAUGUUGGGUUAAGUCCCGCAACGAGCGCAACCCUUACUUUUAGUUGCCAUCAUUUAGUUGGGCACUCUGAAAGAACUCCCAGUGAUAAGCUGGAGGAAGGUGGGGAUGACGUCAAGUCCUCAUGGCCCUUAUGUGUUGGGCUACACACGUGCUACAAUGGUAUCUACAACAGGAAGCAAGAUGGCAACAUUAAGCAAAUCCCAAAAAGAUACCUCAGUUCGGAUUACGCUCUGCAACUCGAGUGCAUGAAGCUGGAAUUACUAGUAAUCGUGGAUCAGNCGGCCCAUCUUUUUGCGCCGUUA
This 1378-nucleotide ribosomal RNA is filed under the name uncultured bacterium. RNAcentral's name for it is "bacterial SSU rRNA". It matches the Rfam family "Bacterial small subunit ribosomal RNA", at positions 69 to 1365 of the family's 1533-position model. The record is from RNAcentral.